UACCUCAAAAUUCCGCAACAGUCUGUUUCAUCAGUAAAGAAUCAUGAUGAAACAGACUGUAAAGAAUCACUGAUGAAACAGACUGUUGCGGAAUUU
This 96-nucleotide microRNA precursor is filed under the name Paramuricea clavata. Lineage: Eukaryota; Metazoa; Cnidaria; Anthozoa; Malacalcyonacea; Plexauridae. The record is from RNAcentral.